This 492-nucleotide ribosomal RNA is filed under the name uncultured bacterium. Its description in RNAcentral is "partial 16S ribosomal RNA". It matches the Rfam family "Bacterial small subunit ribosomal RNA", at positions 29 to 507 of the family's 1533-position model. The record is from RNAcentral.
AGUGAACGCUGGCGGUAGGCCUAACACAUGCAAGUCGAACGGCAGCACAGUAAGAGCUUGCUCUUACGGGUGGCGAGUGGCGGACGGGUGAGGAAUACAUCGGAAUCUACUUUUUCGUGGGGGAUAACGUAGGGAAACUUACGCUAAUACCGCAUACGACCUACGGGUGAAAGCAGGGGAUCUUCGGACCUUGCGCGAUUGAAUGAGCCGAUGUCGGAUUAGCUAGUUGGCGGGGUAAAGGCCCACCAAGGCGACGAUCCGUAGCUGGUCUGAGAGGAUGAUCAGCCAACAUGGAACGGAGACACGGUCCAGACUCCUAAGGGAGGCAGCAGUGGGGAAUAUUGGACAAUGGGCGCAAGCCUGAUCCAGCCAUACCGAGUGGGUGAAGAAGGCCUUCGGGUUGUAAAGCCCUUUUGUUGGGAAAGAAAAGCAGCAGGUUAAUACCCCGCUGUUCUGACGGUACCCAAAGAAUAAGCACCGGCUAACUUCGUG